GGCCUGCAAUAUGACUGUAUCUUUCGCUGCUACCCUGUAAAAUUACGAAUCGCCCGACUUUAACCGUAAAAUGUACAAAUCAACAAGAUCAGCGCUGUAUUCGUCUUACACAGGUAGACUCUGACUCGAAUUCUGUAAAAAUGGAAGAUUUGUCAAGGGAUGCCGAGCUUGAAAACUACUUAGACGCUUUAAACGAUUUCGUGAAAAAGCCGUCGAAAAGUAUCCCGUCCGUGCUGGAACAGUUGAUUCAAAGGAUAGCCCGCCACGGUGAACCAUUGUUUCCAUGGUUCAAGUUGAAGCCAUUGAUUGUGAUGAAGCUAGAGAAUGUGAUAGAGGAAUACAUAGAGUAUAAUCCACAUGAGGAGGUCCCUAUACUACCAAACGUUGAAAAUGUACGUUUUGAUGACAUGAGAGAGCGUCUUCUGAAGGCUCUUGAGUCUUUCAAUAGUGCACCAUUCACAAUACAGAGGCUUUGUGAACUGUUAACAGAACCUAAGAGAUACUACAGACGGAGUGACAAAUUCAUGCGAGGCAUUGAAAAGAAUGUUCAAGUGGUCAGUACGAUAACACCAUCAGGGAAGCGCAUUACAUCCCUGUUUGACCUGCAGAAGAGCCCACCAAUGAUGAAUGGCAUAGUGCCUGACCCUGAGGCUUCACCUAAUAGUGACAACAAUGGAUUCAUACGACCAGUCCCUGAUGCAUUUACCAGCAGCCCCAGUAGCAGUAGUAGUAGUAGUAGGGUGGAUGCCAUGAAUGGUGUCAAUCGUCCCUACUUCAACAGCGACACCAUGGACGCACCUCUCCAGUUUGCAUACCCCCUUGGUCAAAGUAUGACCUCUAUGCCAAGCUCAGAUUCAGGUGUGAGGACUGACCUCAAUAGACUCAAUGGCACACAUAGUGAACCUCACGAGGCUGAAGCUAAAGAGACCUCUGAAGCAAUGCCUGGUGUCUCGCAAGACUCUGCAGAGUCUGAUAGCACAAGAAUCUGUGAAGAAAGAACGUUAGGGGAUGAUAACAUAGAUAAUGACACAGCCAGCGUAGUAUCCUCAAGUGAUGCAGAAAGCUUUGUGGGGGAGGGUCAUAAAGACGAAGGAGAUGAUGAAAUGGAGGUUGAUGUUGCUUCUUCAGGUGAUGCAGGAUGUGUACGAGAUGGAGAAACAGAAGGAGUUCCAACUCUUCAAUCUGAGCAGGGAAAAGAUGGAAAUGGAGAUGUCUCAACAAGUGAAUCUCGACAGGCUUCAGGAGAGUUACCCAAAGAUGUUGAGGAAGCUGGAAAAGCAGACAGCAGUGAAGGUACUUCAGCAAGCACACCCAUGGAGUAUGGGGAAGAACUCUCCAGUAACUCUGAGGCUGCAUCAAGUGAAAACCAGAGUAACCAAGAGUCAGAAGAUAGGUCAGAUGUAAGGGACACUAAUACCUCAUUAGCCAGUCCAGAACAGGGUCAACCUGAAGCAGACAUAGGUGCAGCAGGUGAUGCAGGACCAGGGGAUUCUCUGCCUGGUGAUGCAGGACCAGCUGACUCAAGCAAUGAUGCAAAAAGCACUCCUCUAGAAACUGCCUCGGAGAAUGCAAGUGGAUCAUCAGAAGCUGACUCCAAGGCAAGUUCACCUGAAACUCCUGCAUCUUUAGAAACUUUACCUACUUCUGAUCCAGUAGAAGCAGUGGAAUCUUCUGCAGAUGCUGCCUCUUUGACCCCAUCAAACGAACCUUCAACUGACGAUGUCACAGAUUCUACUCCUACAGACUCUACAUCUUCAUCAGACAAUCAGAGUAGAGGAUCUCCUGUUGCCAGUGGCGAUGGUGAUGCUGCUAGUAGUGGAGAUGUAGCAAAUAGUGAAGUGUGUGAAGAGCAACCCCAAAGUGCAGAAAGCGAGUCAACACAAAGUUGAUGAAAUCAUUUAAUUUUACCUCACUUUUAUUUGAGAUUAUGACGUAGAACAGAAUUCGUAUGACUUGACUGAGACCAAGGUUUACGCGUCGUUAAGGGGUUUUUUUGUCUGAUGAUAAGCAUAAAAAGCCCUUUACUGCAGAAAAAAUUCCAUGCUGUUGAGGAAAUUGUAAAUGCAAUAUCAGCAGUUAUUGAAUAACAAAUUUGUGAAUUUUAAAUUAUUUGGAGCCAUUAUAUGUAUUAUGUAGUUACAUCUCUACUGAAUUAUUUCUUUAGUUUGAAUUUUGUUUGUAACUAUAAUUCAAAUGUGUACAAUUACCUGUCAUUGAUGCAAAUUUAUGAAUUCCAAAAGUCCCUAAAUGUUUUGUUGACUUGCCAACAUGUAACCUUUUUAGUAAAUAUGUUUUUGUACUCAUGGAUAAAAGUGAUAACAGUCAUCAUAUUUUCCUUCAACGACAGUAUCAAGAAAACAAAAUAAAGGGGAAACCGUCCAUCUUUAUUGAUAUAUAGACUUCUUAUUACUCACGUAUUGUUAUUAGUUCUUUUUUGUCUCAUAUUUUGUUAAGUUGACAAUCUCAUGAACAUGUGUACAGUGUCUCUAAAUAUAAAUUGAAAAAGCUUUCUUUCAGAUUUUAUGAUAAAACAAAUUGUUUAACAUUUUUUUUUGACACUGAAGCAAAGUGAAUUUUUAAUUAGGGAGUUUUAAGUGUGCACAUCGACAAAGUGGACUCUUGCGUAAUAAUUAAUCUCGAGGCAAUGCUCUCUCCCUUAUCUACUGUCAGAUUCUGGAACAUGAAAGCUGUCAUUUUACACUGUCCCAAAUCUAGAACUACUUGCUUCCUCUGGUUGUCACAAGCUGCUUCCUUGUGGCAUAUGCUUCGGAUAUAAUUUAAAAUGUUAUCUGUCGACGACAGACUCACAUUGAUAGACAUGGCUGGGACUGGGAAGCUGAUCUUUUCCAUGUAAGCAUUAACUUCAUAUUAUUUAUUUGACCUCAAGAUCAUUUGAAUAUUCUGACUUGAGAGUUGUUUUUUCAUCAUUCACAGAAUACAGAUUUGAUCCAUGUAAUGAUUCUCAACAAGAUAUCAUAAAACUAGUGUGUUAAAAAAAUGUCAUCCGAAGUAGUUUCAUAAAUGCUCUAUUAAAAAUGAUAUUCAAGCUUGACUUACAUUGUGGAAUUUACAGUUAGACAAAAGUGCAUAGUCUUUAUCUUUAAAGUUGAUAUGACUAAACACAGGAAAUAUGAAUGUCUCUCCCAAAGGGAUCUUAAAAUUUGACAUGUAUGGUUCUAGAUAAAGUAAUCUAAGGUUGUGUAUUGAGAUAUUUUACAUACAUAGCUACAUAAUUCUAUGGGUGAAUUGAUGAAGAGGUAUGGAGAAUUUUCGUUGUGCCAUCAUAAUUAAUUGAAGUCCAGUUCCAUUCCUCUGGUGAUCAUCAAGCUUGUAAUUUCCUCAUCUUUUUGUUAUGUUAUUCCAUGUACAUGAAUGUAGUUUUUCUUUUAUGUAGUCUAUGAAUUUGUUUUCUGUUUUCUUUGUUGUGUGCAUGUAUCUUUUCUAUACAUGUUUAGCUGUGUGUAGUGUUCCAUUGUUUAUGCCAUAACUUUGUAUUUUGUUUAUCAUGUAAUGAAUUUAAAUUGAGCUCCCUUAACUAAACCACUUCACAUUAAGUAUCGAAUACAAAAAAGCUACUGGGUUCCAAAAGAAACUUAUCAAAUUUUUAAGGGCACUGCACAAAUUCCACUCAGUCAAAAUCAACAAUAUUUUGACACAUGCUAGUUUCAAUAAUCUUUACUAUUAAAUCACAUGUCAAUAAUUGAGAGGUUGAUUCAAUCACAGAGAGGCUACAGCUCCUCACAUCAAUUGGCUUCUGAAUCCAAAGUCACAAAAUUGCAAAAGAAAGACGAGUGAAAAUGAGAUGAGAUAAAACAAACUUCCAAGUUUAUAAAACAUGCCCUUCAUGGGCAUGUUUUAGUGAUUUGCUCAAUUUUAAAGAAGCUACAGGAAAUUAACAUCAAAAUUUUGAAUGUUUGGAACAAUCACACAGCCACACACAAACCUGCUGGUGAAGUCACGUUAAGCAGGGGAUAAUCAGAACACGGUGUGUGUCUGUAUUUCUUUCAGCCACACACAGAUAAACACCAUCUUCAGAUUAUCCCCCUCUUACCGGGACAUCAAUACUUUAUAUCAUUUCAUAUUGAAACGCAUGUCUGUCUAUUGCAAAUUUUCCAAAUAGAUGUAUGGCCAUGUCAUGAAAUGAGUUCCAGAAAAUACUUGCUUGCAUAGCAAAAGUUUUUUUUAGGAAGUCCUGAGACACUCAUAAUCCUGACACAAUUGUUAGAAUUGGUUUAAUUCAUUUUAAAGUGAAGAUUUUAUGAUGAAAUUUUCAGCAUUUGGCUCUGUGAAUUUUACUCUUUUUAUUUAGAUAUAAAUAUUUUCAUCCCGGAGUACUCCUUUGAAUUGCUGGUUGCAAUGCUGAUAUUUUCAUGCAUGACCAUUUUUAUACAAGUAUUUGUGUACAUCAAGAUAACUGCCAAUGUCAUAGCAAGUUUUGUACUUGUACAAAAUAACACAGAAUCUGAAAAUUGCUGUACAUCUGUCUUGGAAAAAUAAAACAUUUUUCUUCACCAUAAAGCAUUGAUAUUUGAGUACAGUGAACAUAUGAAGCAUACAUUGUAAACAAAAUGUCAAAAUCUUUGGCUUUGGCUUGCCAUCAUUUUAGCGCAGAGUAAAACCAUGGCCUAAGUUAAAUUGGACUUCAGAAUAUGGGCCUUUCUUGUUGUAAAGAGCUGAAAGGACUAAUAUUUUAUAUAUAAUACAUAUAUCGGCUAGCCUAUUAUUCUAUUAUUGCCUCUCCAUAUGAAUAUUACCUGUAUGUGAAUUGAGAAAAGCUAAUUACACAAACACCAAUCAUUAGCCUUCCAGCUAAUGUAGGAAGUGCCAUUUGAUAAAAUUCUAUGAAAUCUUUGCUUUCUCUGCUAUGGUACUGAUUACCUAAAUGUCCAGAAGUUUUCUUUUCACAUUCACAGAAAAAAGAAUAGUUAAUGAUAUUGAUAUGUCAUGCAAAAUGGCAAUUAGAUGUGAUCAGUGACUUCAUGACCUAUGAUUUCCCUUGCAGUUGCAUAUGCCUUACUGGCUUUAUUGAUUGUGAAGAAUUGCUGGUGAAUGACAAAAGAUGCCUUUAGAAUGUCAAACUUUAUGACAAAGCAGAUUGAAUAGUAUUAUAUAGAUUUGAAAGGUUGUGCGUAAUCUAAUAAUCCUUUCUGAACCAGUAAAGAGGAUAUUCAACGUUCUCUGUGCCAGACACUAAAGAAGAUGCAUGCAUACCCUGCUCCUUAUACUUCUGUGCUUAUUAUCUCUACCCUUUUUGAAUGAGCUACAAUUGAGGCCAAAAGUUUACAUACACCCACGGAAUUCAGUGAAGUUUUUUUCACUUACCAAACAUUGUAAAACUUACUAUAUCUUCAGAAAUAUAAAUACUACCAUGGCGAAUUUGGUAUCAAUUGAAAAAGUGCAUUAUUCUCUUUCACUUGAUUUGAAUGCCAUUAGGAUUAAAGUAUAUUUCAGGUGGAAUUUUCUUUGAAGAAAAAAAGUAAUAUUUGUGCCUAUUGUAUUCUAUUGUAAAACUUACUAUAUCUUCAGAAAUAUAAAUACUACCAUGGCGAAUUUGGUAUCAAAUGAAAAAGUGCAUUAUUCUCUUUCACUUGAUUGGGAUGCCAUUAGGAUUAAAGUAUAUUUCAGGUGGAAUUUUCUUUGAAGAAAAAAAGUAAUAUUUGUGCCUAUUGUAUUCUAUUGUAAAACUUACUAUAUCUUCAGAAAUAUAAAUACUACCAUGGCGAAUUUGGUAUCAAAUGAAAAAGUGCAUUAUUCUCUUUCACUUUAUUGGGAUGCCAUUAGGAUUAAAGUAUAUUUCAGGUGGAAUUUUCUUUGAAGAAAAAAAGUAAUAUUUGUGCCUAUUGUAUUCUAUUGUUUAUUAUAUU
RNAcentral lists this unclassified non-coding RNA (5864 nucleotides) under Lytechinus variegatus (green sea urchin). RNAcentral's name for it is "serine/threonine-protein phosphatase 4 regulatory subunit 2-A-like, transcript variant X1". Lineage: Eukaryota; Metazoa; Echinodermata; Echinoidea; Temnopleuroida; Toxopneustidae. The record is from RNAcentral.